RNAcentral lists this ribosomal RNA (320 nucleotides) under uncultured eukaryote. RNAcentral's name for it is "partial 18S ribosomal RNA". It matches the Rfam family "Eukaryotic small subunit ribosomal RNA", at positions 1470 to 1796 of the family's 1831-position model. The record is from RNAcentral.
CCCCUAGAUGUUCUGGGCCGCACGCGCGCUACACUGAACAGUUCAACAAGUCUUAACCUUGGCCGAUAGGUCUGGGUAAUCUUUGAACGCUGUUCGUGAUUGGGAUAGACCUUUGCAAUUAUGGGUCUUCAACGAGGAAUUCCUAGUAAACGCAAGUCAUCAGCUUGCAUUGAUUACGUCCCUGCCCUUUGUACACACCGCCCGUCGCACCUACCGAUUGAAUGGUCCGGUGAAAUCUCGGGACGGCGGCUUGGUCGCUUGCGUCCGACUGCAGAAACUUGAUUAAACCAUAUCAUUUAGAGGAAGGUGAAGUCGUAACA